AACGAACGCUGGCGGCAGGCCUAACACAUGCAAGUCGAGCGCCCUUUCGGGGGAGCGGCGGACGGGUGAGUAACGCGUGGGAAUAUGCCCUUCUCUACGGAAUAGCCUCGGGAAACUGAGAGUAAUACCGUAUACGCCCUGUGGGGGAAAGAUUUAUCGGGGAAGGAUUAGCCCGCGUUGGAUUAGGUAGUUGGUGGGGUAAUGGCCUACCAAGCCGACGAUCCAUAGCUGGUUUGAGAGGAUGAUCAGCCACACUGGGACUGAGACACGGCCCAGACUCCUACGGGAGGCAGCAGUGGGGAAUCUUAGACAAUGGGGGCAACCCUGAUAUAGCCAUGCCGCGUGAGUGAUGAAGGCCUUAGGGUUGUAAAGCUCUUUCAGCUGGGAAGAUAAUGACGGUACCAGCAGAAGAAGCCCCGGCUAACUCCGUG
RNAcentral lists this ribosomal RNA (431 nucleotides) under uncultured bacterium. RNAcentral's name for it is "partial 16S ribosomal RNA". It matches the Rfam family "Bacterial small subunit ribosomal RNA", at positions 29 to 507 of the family's 1533-position model. The record is from RNAcentral.